Molecule: ribosomal RNA, 447 nt
Filed under: uncultured bacterium
Lineage: Bacteria
Description: bacterial SSU rRNA
Rfam family: Bacterial small subunit ribosomal RNA
Source: RNAcentral
UCGGGAAUUUUGGGCAAUGGGCGAAAGCCUGACCCAGCAACGCCGCGUGAAGGAUGAAGUAUUUCGGUAUGUAAACUUCGUAAGAAUAGGAAGAAUAAAUGACGGUACUAUUUGUAAGGUCCGGCUAACUACGUGCCAGCAGCCGCGGUAAUACGUAGGGACCAAGCGUUGUUCGGAUUUACUGGGCGUAAAGGGCGCGUAGGCGGUGUGUCAAGUCAGUUGUGAAAUCUCCGAGCUUAACUCGGAACGGUCAACUGAUACUGUCACACUAGAGUACAGAAGGGGCAAUCGGAAUUCUUGGUGUAGCGGUGAAAUGCGUAGAUAUCAAGAGGAACACCUGAGGUGAAGACGGGUUGCUGGGCUGACACUGACGCUGAGGCGCGAAAGCUAGGGUAGCAAACGGGAUUAGAUACCCCCGUAGUCCCUGAGCGGGCUGGCAAGGCGCAU